CCCAAUGCCAGGUAUUGAUUCAUACACCCAGAUGAGAAGAGCAUGAACACAUCCACGAAGUGUAUAUUUCUUCUUUCCUUCAUAUGAAACAAGCUUAACUGAAUUAACGAGGCUGGAAAAUCCGACACGCCCCCAAGGAUAUCUUUCAAAAGCUUCUGCGUCUAAGACUCUCUUCGCUUCUUCCAAAGGAAUUCUGCUACCGGGAGAGAUGCCUAAUAUGCCAAUCGAUAAGACACAAAGCCAGCCAAUCAUUCUUCUCUUCUCAAAUGACCAAUUCCUAAUGCGAGGAAACAAUUCGCGCAACUCAGAUAACAUUGGACCAUGUGAAGGAGACACACCAAUCUCUUCCCAAAACGCCUUAUGAUCAACCUCCACCUUAUCAUUGAUGUCGAAAGGUUCACAAU
RNAcentral lists this long non-coding RNA (404 nucleotides) under Brassica napus (rape). RNAcentral describes it as "long non-coding RNA (BNAP_LNC026466)". The record is from RNAcentral. Lineage: Eukaryota; Viridiplantae; Streptophyta; Magnoliopsida; Brassicales; Brassicaceae.